Molecule: ribosomal RNA, 708 nt
Filed under: Chaetothyriales sp.
Lineage: Eukaryota; Fungi; Ascomycota; Eurotiomycetes; Chaetothyriales
Description: SSU rRNA
Rfam family: Bacterial small subunit ribosomal RNA
Source: RNAcentral
CUUGGAAGAAUGUAUAACGAUUAUAUCGUAUAAAAUUCUAGAUAAAAAAAUGAUAAUGACAACCAUUUAUCUAUUAGUCUUGUCUAAAUUACGUGCCAGCAGACGCGGUAAUACGUAGAAGACUAGUGUUAUUCAUCUGUAAUGGGUUUAAAGGGUACCUAGACGGAGGAUCAAGCCAAAAAAGGGACUAAUUUUCUAGAGUUUUAUAAAAGAAGAUGGAAUUUACGGAGUAGAGUUGAAAUUCAGUUAUACUGUGAAGACUGGUAACGGCGAAGGCAAUCUUCUAUGUAAAAACUGACGUUGAGGGACGAAGCCUAGGGUAACGAUAAGGAUUAGAGACCCUAAUAGUCCUAGGAGAAAAUUAUGAAUGUCAUAAGUUAGAUAAUUUUAAUUUAAAUAUUUUUAGUUUAUAAACGAAAGUGUAAGCAUUCCACCUCAUGAGUAAAGCGGCAACGCUCAAAUUGAAAUCAUUAGACCGUUUCUGAAACCAGUAGUGAAGUAUGUUAUUUAAUUCGAUGAUCCGCGAAUAACCUUACCACAAUUUGAAUAUUAUACAAGUGCUGCACGGCUGUCUUUAGCUAAUGUCGUGAGAUUUGGUUAACUCCUUUAAUUAGCGCAAGCCCUUGCUUUAUUUAUUUUUUCAUAAAGUUAUUCGCUUGUAUAUCGGUAUAGAUAAUAGGGAUUAAGACAAGUCAUCAUGGCCUUAAU